AUGGAGAGGGAUGAGUCGCUGCAACGCGCAGUGGAAGAUAGUUGGAAGAGUAACGAUCCUGCCACAAGCCUACAAGAAAUUCAGGGGAAGUUGCUGAAUAUGCAACAAAAUCUGAGCAAAUGGAGCGCAAAGAAGAUUGGAUCGGUCAGACAGAAAAUUUGCAUGCUUCGGAAAAAGCUGCAGGUCCUAAUGAACAAACUAAUAAGCCCUGCAAAUGACAGUGAGAUCAGUCGGCAUUCAAAGGAGUUGGGCGGGCUGCUGCUCCGGGAGGAGAUCCUUUGGUGCCAACGGUCUAGAGCAACAUAUCUCCGUGAAGGGGAUAGAAAUACGGAGUGGUUCCACCGCCAAGCAACGUGGAGAAGGAAACAAAAUACCAUCACCAAAUUAGAAUGA
RNAcentral lists this ribosomal RNA (393 nucleotides) under Triticum aestivum (bread wheat). RNAcentral's name for it is "partial small subunit ribosomal RNA". Lineage: Eukaryota; Viridiplantae; Streptophyta; Magnoliopsida; Poales; Poaceae. The record is from RNAcentral.